CAAGUACUACGUUGAUCUCAUGAAUAGACAAGGGCUUUUUACGUCCGAUCAAGAUUUGUAUACGGAUCGAAGAACACGAGGGAUUGUAACGAGCUUUGCGGUGAAUCAAUCGUUGUUUUAUGAAAAAUUUGUUAUUGGUAUGAUAAAAAUGGGACAAAUGAAUGUGUUGACUGGUGGACAAGGUGAAAUUAGGAAUAGGUGUGAUAGGAGGAAUAAGGCUAAAAAGGUUGAUAUUGCUACUGUUGUUGAAGAAUUGGAGGAAACUUUUUCUGCUUUGUUUUAAGUUUUAAUUAAUUAGUCUUCUGGUUUUGUUGUAAUGAUAAUAAUGAGUGUGUUAAUUAACUUUUAGUAUAAUAAUCACAUUUUGUUUUGUG
RNAcentral lists this unclassified non-coding RNA (374 nucleotides) under Hevea brasiliensis (rubber tree). The record is from RNAcentral. Lineage: Eukaryota; Viridiplantae; Streptophyta; Magnoliopsida; Malpighiales; Euphorbiaceae.